AGUACGUUGGCGGCUGGAUUACCAUGCGAUUCAAAGCGAGAAGCGUUUUUUUGCUUGCAUUUAUAACGUGGACAGCGGCGCAAGGGAGAGUCACGCGUAGUUAUCUACCCCAAGGGUCCGGAAUAGCUUCGGGAAACUGAAGGUAAUACCGGAUAAUAUCCCCGGAUCACACGGUGUGAUUCCGCCUUGGGAGGAGACUGCGUUGUACUAGCUUGUUGGUGGGGUAAUGGCCUACCAAGGGCUGUAGAUGCAUAGCGGGCGUGAGAGCGUGGCCCGUCUCACUGGGACUGAAACACUGCCCAGACACCUACGGGUGGCUUGCCAAGUCGAGAAUCUUCGUGCAAUGGGCGAAAGCCUGACCGAGCUGAUGCCGCGUGCGGGAUGAAGGCCUUCGGGUUGUAAACCGCAUGUCACGUUGGGAGGAAGGGUCUGUGAAGAGCAGAUCUUGACCUAUCUUCAGAGGAAGUCCGGGCAUAAGUUCGUGACAGACAGCCGGGUAACAACCGAAACCCGGCAACCAACCGGUUAUUCGGAAUUACUUAUGGGGCUUUACAGGGUGCGUUACAGCAGGCUAAUGUUAGGUCGGGUGUCAAAAAUCCCAUCCGGCUCAAACCGACGGAAACUGGAGCCACCAAA
RNAcentral lists this ribosomal RNA (636 nucleotides) under uncultured bacterium. RNAcentral describes it as "bacterial SSU rRNA". The stretch from base 8 to 517 matches the Rfam family "Bacterial small subunit ribosomal RNA", at positions 37 to 537 of the family's 1533-position model. The record is from RNAcentral.